UUUUUUACACAUAAAUCGAAAAUUUAAAUGAUGGUUCUAAACUUUUGAAGCGCCCUUUAUUUCUGUAUACGUUUUUCAAUAAAGUUUGAUUUCAAUGUAUGAAAACAAAUAUGCCAGUUAAAGGUCAUUUAAAUAUCCAUAUCUCAUUCAAUGUAUUAACUUAUAAACUUUAGAAAAUAUGCAAAAAUUUGUAACAUCGGAA
Molecule: non-coding RNA, 202 nt
Organism: Parasteatoda tepidariorum (common house spider)
Lineage: Eukaryota; Metazoa; Arthropoda; Arachnida; Araneae; Theridiidae
Source: RefSeq, a predicted model, not a curated record